UAGAACGUCAGUUUCCUCCGGAAUUCAUUCCAGUCACCGUCCUUGAUAUGGAUUGGAUGUCGCUAUAAAGAAACCAAGAAGGUGGCAUUAGAAAUCAAGAAGAAAAUCACAGAGACCCCAGCAUGGAAAUGGGUGCAGCAUGUGAGCUGUGAGUGCCCCAAACACAGAUGGCCCAGGAACUCAGCAAAGGCUUCCACUUCUUGUUUGACCCAAGAAAUGUCAUGCAAAGGAACUCCUGCAAACCUUGCCCAUCUCCACACCUACACCCCAGGGAAGCUGCCACCUGGGCUGGGAUGCCCACUGCCCCAGGCUGAGCAAGGGCACUUCUUUGGGGAGCUAAAAUCCUUCAGCCCCUGGACCAUCACCCUCUUUUCUCAGAGAAAGCCCUCCUCCCAGGCCUGCUCUUUCAUCAGUACUCAGCUCAAGAAGAUGCCAGAGGUCUUCUCCUUUGCAGAGCCUGGAUCCACUUUCUCAAAUCCCCAGGCACCCAGAGGCAAGUAGGGCAGAGACAUCUUUGCUGAAGGCCCUGUGAAGCCCAAGAGCACAAGAGAUUUGCCCUGGCCUGAGGGGGCUCCCAGUACAAAGGACUUUUAGCUUUAAAAAACCAGGAUGGGUCCAGGCAAACCUCACUGUAGUGAGGAUCUCUAUGCUGUCCCUGAUUGGUGAGUCUCUCGUCUAUACAUAGAACCUUACAUUUGGCUUCAUUUGUAGGAGUUUAGUUUGAAACAUUUACUUUACUAUUGAGCACUAACGUUUUCCAAGCAUUUUCUUGCAUACUGGAUCUCGCAGGUUUGCGAUGGACUUUUUCAACUCUGAAAACUUUCUGAUUUAUCCACUGAGUCACAUUCUUGUCACUCUACUGAACAUGUACAGUAUUCCAUGAGGCUGGGAUGAGGUUUUAGCUGCUAUUGAAAAGCCCAUGGCCUGGAAUGACCACACUUCAUUUCUGCAGAGAUGCCUGUGCCAACAGGGCCAAGAGGUCACUGACAGCAGGUAGGAGAUGGAUUUGGAGUUCCUGGGUCUCUCUCUGGUCUUGGUAAUUGUAACUGUACUGGCCUCUCCAACGGUUGUUUUCUUAACUGAAAUUGCCGUAGUUUUUCACUUUGAAACAUCUAGGCUGUAUUCACACACCAAUGUUUAUAGUGGCUGUCUUAUCCCGUUAGGGCUGCUAUAAUAAAAUACCAUACUGAGUGGCUAUUCAGAACAGAAAUUUAUUUCUCACAGUUCUGGAGGAUGGAAGCUCAAGAUCAAGGAACCAGAAGAUUUGGUGUCCGGUGAGGACCCACUUUCUGGUUCAUAGACAGCCAUCUUCUUGCUAUAACCUCACAUCGAAGAAGGGGUAAUGGAGUUUUCUGAGGUGUCUAUUAUAAAGGCCUAAGCUUAUUCAUGAGGGCUCUGCUCUCAUGACCUGAUCACCUCCUAAAGUCCUCACCUACAAAUACCAACACAUUAGGGCUUAGGUUUCAACAUAAGAAUAUUGAGGCAUAGAUAUUCAGUCUGUAGCUGCAGCAUUAUUCACAAUAGCCAAAAGGUAGAAACAACCCAAAUGUCCAUCAGUAGAUAAAUGGAUAAACAAAAUGUGGUGUGUAUAUAAGUGGAAUAUUACUCAACCUUAAAACGAAAGGAAAUUCUGACAUGUGACAAUAUGGAUGAACUUUGAAGACAUUGUGCUAAAUGAAAUCGGUCAAUACA
Molecule: long non-coding RNA, 1692 nt
Filed under: Homo sapiens (human)
Lineage: Eukaryota; Metazoa; Chordata; Mammalia; Primates; Hominidae
Description: HSALNT0094382
Source: RNAcentral